This 382-nucleotide ribosomal RNA is filed under the name uncultured bacterium. Its description in RNAcentral is "bacterial SSU rRNA". It matches the Rfam family "Bacterial small subunit ribosomal RNA", at positions 518 to 898 of the family's 1533-position model. The record is from RNAcentral.
CGGUAAUACGGAGGAUGCAAGCGUUAUCCGGAAUUAUUGGGCGUAAAGCGUCCGCAGGUGGCUAAUCAAGUCUGCUGUUAAAGACAGAAGCUCAACUUCUGAGCAGCGGUGGAAACUGAGGAGCUAGAGUACGGUAGGGAUUGAGGGAAUUCCCAGUGUAGCGGUGAAAUGCGUAGAUAUUGGGAAGAACACCAGUGGCGAAGGCGCUCAACUGGGCCGUAACUGACACUGAGGGACGAAGGCUAGGAAAGCGAAAGGGAUUAGAUACCCCUGUAGUCCUAGCUGUAAACGAUGAACACUAGGCGUUGCUUGUAUCGACCCGAGCAGUGCCGUAGCCAACGCGUUAAGUGUUCCGCCUGGGGAGUACGCACGCAAGUGUGAA